UACGUAGGGUGCGAGCGUUGUCCGGAAUCAUUGGGCGUAAAGAGCGCGUAGGCGGCCCGGUAAGUCCGCUGUGAAAGUCUAGGGCUCAACCCUGGGAUGCCGGUGGAUACUGGCGGGCUCGAGUCCGGAAGAGGAGUGUGGAAUUCCUGGUGUAGCGGUGAAAUGCGCAGAUAUCAGGAGGAACACCAAUGGCGAAGGCAGCACUCUGGGACGUGACUGACGCUGAGACGCGAAAGCGUGGGGAGCAAACAGG
RNAcentral lists this ribosomal RNA (253 nucleotides) under uncultured bacterium. Its description in RNAcentral is "partial 16S ribosomal RNA". It matches the Rfam family "Bacterial small subunit ribosomal RNA", at positions 524 to 776 of the family's 1533-position model. The record is from RNAcentral.